AGUGAACGCUGGCGGUAGGCCUAACACAUGCAAGUCGAACGGCAGCACAUUAAUAGCUUGCUCUUACGGGUGGCGAGUGGCGGACGGGUGAGGAAUACAUCGGAAUCUACUUUUUCGUGGGGUAUAACGUAGGGAAACUUACGCUAAUACCGCAUACGACCUACGGGUGAAAGCAGGUGAUCUUCGUACCUUGCGCGAUUGAAUGAGCCGAUGUCGGAUUAGCUAGUUGGCGGGGUAAAGGCCCACCAAGGCGACGAUCAGUAGCUGGUCUGAGAGGAUGAUAAGAGCCACUGGAACUGAGACACGGUCCAGACUCCUACGGGAGGAAGCAGUGGGGAAUAUUGGAAAAUGGGAGCAAGCCUGAUCCAGCCAUACCGCGUGGGUGAAGAAGGCAUUCGGGUUGUAAAGCCCUUUUGUUGGGAAAGAAAAGCAGCAGGUUAAUACCCAGCUGUUCUGACGGUACCCAAAGAAUAAGCACCGGCUAACUUCGUG
Molecule: ribosomal RNA, 492 nt
Filed under: uncultured bacterium
Lineage: Bacteria
Description: partial 16S ribosomal RNA
Rfam family: Bacterial small subunit ribosomal RNA
Source: RNAcentral